UGGGAACGUGCCCUUUGGUUCGGAAUAACUCAGGGAAACUUGAGCUAAUACCGGAUAAGUCCGUAAGGAGAAAGAUUUAUCGCCGAAGGAGCGGCCCGCGUCCGAUUAGCUAGUUGGUGGGGUAAUGGCCCACCAAGGCUACGAUCGGUAGCUGGUCUGAGAGGAUGACCAGCCACACUGGGACUGAGACACGGCCCAGACUCCUACGGGAGGCAG
Molecule: ribosomal RNA, 216 nt
Filed under: uncultured bacterium
Lineage: Bacteria
Description: partial 16S ribosomal RNA
Rfam family: Bacterial small subunit ribosomal RNA
Source: RNAcentral